GUGCCAGCAGCCGCGGUAAUUCCAGCUCCAAUAGCGUAUAUUAAAGUUGUUGUGGUUAAAAAGCUCGUAGUUGAACCUUGGGCCUGGCUGGCCGGUCCGCCUCACCGCGUGCACUGGUCCGGCCGGGCCUUUCCCUCUGUGGAACCCCAUACCCUUCACUGGGCGUGGCGGGGAAACAGGACAUUUACUUUGAAAAAAUUAGAGUGCUCCAGGCAGGCCUAUGCUCGAAUACAUUAGCAUGGAAUAAUAAAAUAGGACGCGCGGUUCUAUUUUGUUGGUUUAUAGGACCGCCGUAAUGAUUAAUAGGGACAGUCGGGGGCAUCAGUAUUCAACUGUCAGAGGUGAAAUUCUUGGAUCAGUUGAAGACUAACUACUGCGAAAGCAUUUUGCCAAGGAUGUUUUCAUUAAUCAGGAACGAAAGUUAGGGGAUCGAAGACGAUCAGAUACCGUCGUAGUCUUAACCAUAAACUAUGCCGACUAGGGAUCGGACGGUGUUAUUCAUGACCCGUUCGGCACCUUACGAGAAAUCAAAGUGCUUGGGCUCCAGGGGGAGUAUGGUCGCAAGGCUGAAACUUAAAGAAAUUGACGGAAGGGCACCACCAGGGUGGAGCCUGCGGCUUAAUUUUGACUCAACACGGGGAAACUCACCAGGUCCAGACACAAUAAGGGAUUGACAGAUUGAGAGCUCUUUCUUGAUUUUUGUGGGUGGUGUGCAUGCCGUUCUUAGUGUGGGUGACUUGUCUGCUUAAUGCGAUACGACGAGACUACUGCUAAAUAGCCCGCAUGCUCCGGCAGUGCGCUGGCUUCUUAGAGGGACUUUCGGCUCAAGCCGAAGAAG
This 838-nucleotide ribosomal RNA is filed under the name uncultured fungus. RNAcentral's name for it is "SSU rRNA". It matches the Rfam family "Eukaryotic small subunit ribosomal RNA", at positions 564 to 1445 of the family's 1831-position model. Lineage: Eukaryota; Fungi. The record is from RNAcentral.